This 666-nucleotide ribosomal RNA is filed under the name uncultured ciliate. RNAcentral's name for it is "SSU rRNA". It matches the Rfam family "Eukaryotic small subunit ribosomal RNA", at positions 326 to 1012 of the family's 1831-position model. Lineage: Eukaryota; Ciliophora. The record is from RNAcentral.
UGGUAGUGUAUUGGACUACCAUGGCGCUCACGGGUAACGGAGAAUUAGGGUUCGAUUCCGGAGAAGGAGCCUGAGAAACGGCUACUACACCUACGGGUAGGCAGCAGGGGCGUAAAUUACCCAAUCCUAAUUCAGGGAGGUAGUGACAAGAAAUAGCAAGUCGGGAAGUUUUACUUCUACGGCAUUGAAAUGAGAACAGUGUAAAUCUCUUAACGAGGAACAAUUGGAGGGCAAGUUCAGGUGCCAGCAGCCGCGGUAAUUCCUGCUCCAAUAGCGUAUAUUAAAGUUGUUGCAGUUAAAAAGCUCGUAGUUGAACUUCUGUCCGCGUUUGUCUCCACUCGUGGAACAAAAGCGGACAUACGUCUGCAAACUAAAAUCGGCCUUCACUGGUUCGACUUAGGGAGUAGACAUUUUACUGUGAAAAAAUUAGAGUGUUCCAGGCAGGUUUUUGCCCGAAUACAUUAGCAUGGAAUAAUGGAAUAGGACUAAGUCCAUUUUAUUGGUUCUUGGAUUUAGUAAUGAUUAAUAGGGACAGUUGGGGGCAUUAGUAUUUAAUAGUCAGAGGUGAAAUUCUUGGAUUUAUUAAGGACUAACUAAUGCGAAAGCAUUUGCCAAAGAUGUUUUCAUUAAUCAAGAACGAAAGUUAGGGGAUCAAAGACGAUCAGA